This 107-nucleotide small nuclear RNA is filed under the name Salvator merianae (Argentine black and white tegu). The record is from RNAcentral. Lineage: Eukaryota; Metazoa; Chordata; Lepidosauria; Squamata; Teiidae.
GUGCUUGCUUCAGCACCACAUUUAUUAAAAUUGGAAUGAUACAGAGAAGUUUAGCAUGGCCCCUGCACAAGGAUGACACGCAAAUUCAUGAAGCAUUCCAUAUUAAA